GAUAUUUGUCAAUGGGGGAAACCCUGAACCAGCAAUGCCGCGUGAGUGACGAAGGNUUNNGGAUCNUNAAGAACUGUCCUUGGNNNNNAUAAUGACGGUCCAACAGAAGAAAGAUACGGCUAACCUAGUGCCAGCAGCCGCGGUAAUACGUAGGUGGCAAGCGUUGUCCGGAAUUAUUGGGCGUAAAUGGCUAGUAGGAGGCCAGUUAUGUCAGAUGUGAAAGGCUAGGGCUCAACCCUAACAUGGCAUUUGAAACUGAUUGGCUUGAGAGUAGGAGAGGGAAGUGGAAUUCCUAAUGUAGCGGUGAAAUGCGUAGAUAUUAGGAGGAACACCAGUGGCGAAGGCGACUUCCUGGCCUACAACUGACGCUGAUGCGCGAAAGCGUGGGGAGCAAAC
RNAcentral lists this ribosomal RNA (396 nucleotides) under uncultured bacterium. Its description in RNAcentral is "partial 16S ribosomal RNA". It matches the Rfam family "Bacterial small subunit ribosomal RNA", at positions 359 to 773 of the family's 1533-position model. The record is from RNAcentral.